This 390-nucleotide unclassified non-coding RNA is filed under the name soil metagenome. RNAcentral describes it as "partial contains 5.8S ribosomal RNA, internal transcribed spacer 2, and large subunit ribosomal RNA". The stretch from base 1 to 122 matches the Rfam family "5.8S ribosomal RNA", at positions 35 to 154 of the family's 154-position model. The record is from RNAcentral.
GAUGAAGAACGUAGCGAAAUGCGAUGCUUGGUGUGAAUUGCAGAAUCCCGUGAACCAUCGAGUCUUUGAACGCAAGUUGCGCCCGAAGCCACUAGGCCGAGGGCACGCCUGUCUGGGCGUCACACGCCGUUGCCCCCCCAUCUACUCCUUCGGGAUUGCGGGGGGGCGGAUGAUGGCCUCCCGUGCGCCUAGCCGCGCGGUUGGCAUAAAUACCAAGUCCUCGGCGACGCACGCCACGACAAUCGGUGGUUGCGAAACCUCGGUUGCCCGUCGUGUGCGUUCGUCGCGCAUCGAGGGCUCGAAAAAAUGCUCGGCUCCGGCUGGGCUUUCAACGCGACCCCAGGUCAGGCGGGGUUACCCGCUGAAUUUAAGCAUAUCAUAAGCGGAGGA